UACGUAGGGGGCAAGCGUUGUCCGGAUUUAUUGGGCGUAAAGAGCGUGUAGGCGGCCUUACAGGUCAGCUGUGAAAACUCGAGGCUCAACCUCGAGACGUCGGUUGAAACCGUAUGGCUAGAGUCCGGAAGAGGAGAGUGGAAUUCCCGGUGUAGCGGUGAAAUGCGUAGAUAUCUGGAGGAACACCGGUGGCGAAGGCGGCAUCCUGGACCGACACUGACGCUGAGGAGCGAAAGCCAGGGGAGCAAACGGG
RNAcentral lists this ribosomal RNA (253 nucleotides) under uncultured bacterium. RNAcentral describes it as "partial 16S ribosomal RNA". It matches the Rfam family "Bacterial small subunit ribosomal RNA", at positions 524 to 776 of the family's 1533-position model. The record is from RNAcentral.